CCCGGUGGCCAUAGCGGAGGGGAAACACCCGUUCCCAUUUCGAACACGGCAGUUAAGCCCUCCAGCGCCCAUGGUACUGCGGGGGCGACCCCGUGGGAGAGUAGGUCACUGCCGGGA
This 117-nucleotide ribosomal RNA is filed under the name Bacillota bacterium. The record is from RNAcentral. Lineage: Bacteria; Bacillati; Bacillota.